UACAGAGGUCUCAAGCGUUGUUCGGAUUCAUUGGGCGUAAAGGGUGCGUAGGCGGCGAGGCAAGUCUGGUGUGAAAUCCCGGGGCUCAACCCCGGAACUGCACUGGAUACUGCUUUGCUAGAGUACUGGAGAGGGAACUGGAAUUUACGGUGUAGCAGUGAAAUGCGUAGAUAUCGUUUGGAACGCCAAUGGUGAAAACAGGUUGCUGGGAGUGUGCUGACCGCUGAGAACACGGAAAGCCAGGGGAGCAAACGGG
This 256-nucleotide ribosomal RNA is filed under the name uncultured bacterium. Its description in RNAcentral is "partial 16S ribosomal RNA". It matches the Rfam family "Bacterial small subunit ribosomal RNA", at positions 524 to 776 of the family's 1533-position model. The record is from RNAcentral.